GCACGACAGUCUUUCCGAACCAGGACUGACCAGGUCUUCAGACUCUCAUGCCUGCGCCACCGCCCCGCUGCAGUGUCUGCCUUGGCUGCCACCGUUCCUGGGAGACGGAUCCGAUCUCUGCCGCUGGCUUCCAGACUGUCGGCUUCGGGUGGAGUACGGUCCCAGAUGCAGUGUCUGCACAAAGACCCCCCUGACCGACCCCGUCCGCGUGGACCCGCGGCCUGUCAACGCCACAGCAUCUCCCCUGAACCCCGCAAAGUAAUCCCCCAUCGUCUCCUUGAAACGCCUCCUACUCUGCUACCCCUUCAACACGUUUGCCUCUUGUGGCCCCAAGUAGACGCAGCUCCUUGAAGGUCUUUUCCUACCCAGUCUUCCCCCUCUUUUGCACUUGGCACCCCACGGGUCCACAUGUAUUUCCGGAUUUGUUGAUUGACUGAAACAGUUCACUUCCUCUCUUUCAAAAGAAAUAGGACCCCAUGAGGUGCCUGGAUGCCAGGACAAGAGAACUCCAGAGAGGAGGCCACCACACGGAGAGGGGAGAUGUCCUGCUUCACAGUUUGCUUGUGCCCAUCCCGGCCACGAUCCCAGCAAUCAACUGACUGUUUAAUCCAUCUCAGGGAAAGCCAGGUUCGGUAUGAUGGGAAAUGAUCCACUUUCCCCACCAACACUCCCUGCGGCCUGUGGAGGCCACACCGUGACGACGGGAGCUUUGACAAGCCUGGUCUUCCUCCCUGUUGGUGAGGCUCCAUCAGUGAACCGGUCGUGGCCCUUUGAUGCAGCAUUUUC
Molecule: long non-coding RNA, 786 nt
Filed under: Equus asinus (donkey)
Lineage: Eukaryota; Metazoa; Chordata; Mammalia; Perissodactyla; Equidae
Description: lncRNA (ENSEASG00005024197.1)
Source: RNAcentral